GCUGUCACCUAUCGCAUCCCAUCAUAGGUUUCAAUGUUAUCGAGCACAUCCUGACAAUGACCGAAAAGACUAAACGAUACAGUACAGUAAAAACAGCUUUCCCAAACCUCAAAAGAAACAAGGUGAGAGUUUUUAUACAGGCUGUUAGCGCAGAACAGACAGAUGAAUACGCAGUGAAAACCAAGAAGGAGAAGGUUGCUGUACCAAAACACAGUAGCAUUCAGAUUGAGUGCCGUGUAGCUUCCCAGCCUUUCAAAGAGGACAUGACAAUGCUUUUCCAGCCAGACCUGAACCCGCAGUGGCCAGACGACCUUGAGUUCUUUGACACACUAGUCAGAGUCAGGAAAGGUGUUUUUCCAGUUAUCAUGCUUGAUGUCUCUAACCCUACUGACCACGACAUUGCCCUGCUAGGACGCACAAUAAUUGGUACAGUACACACCAUUAUGACUGUGUUACCUGCCCAGGUCUUUGAAAAAACUGUCACCCCAGCCACAGUGAAUCACACAAGCGUUCGAACCCCAUGUACUGCUACUGAACAGUGGGAUCCACCAGUAGGUUUAAAUCACCUCACCGAAGAGCAGAGAGAAGUUGUUAGGCAAAUGCUUAGAGAAGAGUGCCACUCCUUCUCCAGAUCAGACAAUGACAUUGGCUGUAUUGAACGAUUGAAAAUGACUAUUUCUCUAAAGGACUCUGAACCAGUCAAGCGCACAUACAUGUCAGUGCCCAGGCCACUGUAUCAGGAGAUGAAGGGUUACCUUUAUGACCUCAUAGCCCAGGGCUGGGUUAGGAAGUCAAACGCUUCAUAUUCUUCACCUGUCGUGUGCGUUCGGAAGAAGGACGGGACCCUCCGGUUGUGUAUAGAUUACAGACACAUCCCGACCGCCAGCCUAUCCCUCGGGUCCAAGACAUCAUGGACAGUUUAGGUGGUAAUUCCUGGUUCUCCCUCUUAGACCAGGGAAAAGCGUAUCACCAGGGGUUCAUCUCUGAAGAAAGCAGACCACUGACAGCAUUUGUGACCCCAUGGGGACUCUAUGAGUGGAUACGUAUGCCAUUCGGCCUCAUGAACGCUCCUGCAGCUUUUCAGCGGUGUAUGGAGGAGUGUUUGGAAGGGUUCCGGGAUAACAUCUGCAUUCCUUACCUAGACGACACGCUAGUUUUCAGUAAAACAUUCGACAGCCAUGUGAAUGAUGUGAGAAAAGUGAUGCAGCGUCUCUGAGAGUAUGGCAUUAAACUCAAACCAAGUAAGUGUGAUCUCUUUAAACCCCAAGUCCGUUAUUUGGGCAGAAUAGUGUCUGCAGAGGGCAGCCGAGUUGACCCAGCUGAUUUUGAAGCAGUAAGAGCAUUGAGAGAAAUCAGACCAGAGACUGUGGGCCAGCUCAGAAAAAUGCUUGGUUUACUCACUUACUACAGACAGUACAUCAAAGACUUUUCUAGGAGGGCCAGCUGCCUGUAUGACCUCCUGAAAGCAGAUUCAGAGAAAUUACCUCACCACCCACGGAAAACAAAAACAAAGAAAGCAGAUGCUACGGAUCCGACGUUUCUGGACACCACUUCUCGGAGGUGCAAGUAAGCCUACCCAUGACAACCUUUUAAAAUGCCUACCACUUCUUGCUGAAUGAAUCCUCUCCAAUUUGUCACGAGUCAACGUAAACACACUAUUGUUUGGAGCGGCAAGCCUGAAUCCUAAUUGCCUCAUCUGACAAAACACACGUCAGUGUAUCCUCGUUUAUUUCCAUGUCAACCUCUCCAUUUACAUGUUGCUCAUCUGCUUCAGUUUUCAUAGCGCUUACGAUUUCCUCAUCUGAUAAACCUCUACCACAACCUUCUAAGUGGUAGUAUUCAUUCCCAAUACCUUGGGUGUCUGAGAUUUGAUUGGGCUGCACCACUGACAGUCCAUCAUAUGAACUCGUGGCUACAUCAGGAUGAAGAUCCGUAGCAGGUUCUUUAUCCUCAGAGGUGUGUACACUUUGCAUAUUAAGUUGGCAGUCUGAGGGUCUUCUCUGAGCAGUUGACAUUCCCUCAUUUAAACUCUCCACAUGCAAUAGAUUGUGUACCUGAGCCUCAGUUACAUUCUCUGUUUGUACCAUUUUGUUUAAUUUCACCUUGUUGUCACUAGCAAUAGAAUGUAUAAAUGUGUCACAGUCCACUUUAAGACUAAAUCAAAUCAAAUGAUAUUUGUCACAUGCUUUGUAGACAACAGGUCAAAUACAGUGAGAUGCUUACUUACGGGCCCUUCCCAACAAUGCAAAGAGAAAGAAAAUAGAGAAAUAAUAGAAAAGUAAAACAACGGCUGUAAUUUGCAGUAGCUGUACUUGAACUCAACAUUAUUCUGAGUAGUAUAGAAAAGUAGCAGAUUCUACAUCCUUUUGACUAUCUAGAGAUACGCCAACACAAUCAGUGAUACCAAUUUGUACAGAUAUCACAUGCUAGCAUUGCUCAUUUACUGUUAUUUGGU
RNAcentral lists this long non-coding RNA (2455 nucleotides) under Salmo salar (Atlantic salmon). RNAcentral describes it as "lncRNA (ENSSSAG00000109793.1)". Lineage: Eukaryota; Metazoa; Chordata; Actinopteri; Salmoniformes; Salmonidae. The record is from RNAcentral.